This 771-nucleotide ribosomal RNA is filed under the name uncultured bacterium. RNAcentral's name for it is "bacterial SSU rRNA". It matches the Rfam family "Bacterial small subunit ribosomal RNA", at positions 77 to 837 of the family's 1533-position model. The record is from RNAcentral.
UUGUAUCAGAAUGAAGAGUAGCGAACGGGUGAGUAACGCGUGGGUAACCUACCUCUUAGCGGGGGACAACUAUUGGAAACGAUAGCUAAUACCGCAUAACAAUAUUAAACACAUGUUUAACAUUUGAAAGUACCAAUUGGUACACUAGGAGAUGGACCCGCGUUGUAUUAGCUAGUUGGUAGUGUAAUGGACUACCAAGGCGAUGAUACAUAGCCGACCUGAGAGGGUGAUCGGCCACAUUGGGACUGAGACACGGCCCAAACUCCUACGGGAGGCAGCAGUAGGGAAUCUUCGGCAAUGGACGAAAGUCUGACCGAGCAACGCCGCGUGAGUGAAGAAGGUUUUCGGAUCGUAAAACUCUGUUGUUAGAGAAGAACGUUGUGUAGAGUGGAAAAUUACACAAGUGACGGUAUCUAACCAGAAAGGGACGGCUAACAACGUGCCAGCAGCCGCGGUAAUACGUAGGUCCCGAGCGUUGUCCGGAUUUAUUGGGCGUAAAGCGAGCGCAGGUGGUUUAAUAAGUCUGAUGUAAAAGGCAGUGGCUCAACCAUUGUGUGCAUUGGAAACUGUUAGACUUGAGUGCAGUAGAGGAGAGUGGAAUUCCAUGUGUAGCGGUGAAAUGCGUAGAUAUAUGGAGGAACACCGGUGGCGAAAGCGGCUCUCUGGACUGUAACUGACACUGAGGCUCGAAAGCGUGGGUAGCAAACAGGAUUAGAUACCCUGGUAGUCCACGCCGUAACGAUGAGUGCUAGUUGUUUGGGGCUAUCCAGC